GUGACUGCGUACCUUUUGUAUAAUGGGUCAGCGACUUAUAUUCUGUAGCAAGGUUAACCGAAUAGGGGAGCCGAAGGGAAACCGAGUCUUAACUGGGCGUUAAGUUGCAGGGUAUAGACCCGAAACCCGGUGAUCUAGCCAUGGGCAGGUUGAAGGUUGGGUAACACUAACUGGAGGACCGAACCGACUAAUGUUGAAAAAUUAGCGGAUGACUUGUGGCUGGGGGUGAAAGGCCAAUCAAACCGGGAGAUAGCUGGUUCUCCCCGAAAGCUAUUUAGGUAGCGCCUCGUGAAUUCAUCUCCGGGGGUAGAGCACUGUUUCGGCAAGGGGGUCAUCCCGACUUACCAACCCGAUGCAAACUGCGAAUACCGGAGAAUGUUAUCACGGGAGACACACGGCGGGUGCUAACGUCCGUCGUGAAGAGGGAAACAACCCAGACCGCCAGCUAAGGUCCCAAAGUCAUGGUUAAGUGGGAAACGAUGUGGGAAGGCCCAGACAGCCAGGAUGUUGGCUUAGAAGCAGCCAUCAUUUAAAGAAAGCGUAAUAGCUCACUGGUCGAGUCGGCCUGCGCGGAAGAUGUAACGGGGCUAAACCAUGCACCGAAGCUGCGGCAGCGACGCUUAUGCGUUGUUGGGUAGGGGAGCGUUCUGUAAGCCUGCGAAGGUGUGCUGUGAGGCAUGCUGGAGGUAUCAGAAGUGCGAAUGCUGACAUAAGUAACGAUAAAGCGGGUGAAAAGCCCGCUCGCCGGAAGACCAAGGGUUCCUGUCCAACGUUAAUCGGGGCAGGGUGAGUCGACCCCUAAGGCGAGGCCGAAAGGCGUAGUCGAUGGGAAACAGGUUAAUAUUCCUGUACUUGGUGUUACUGCGAAGGGGGGACGGAGAAGGCUAUGUUGGCCGGGCGACGGUUGUCCCGGUUUAAGCGUGUAGGCUGGUUUUCCAGGCAAAUCCGGAAAAUCAAGGCUGAGGCGUGAUGACGAGGCACUACGGUGCUGAAGCAACAAAUGCCCUGCUUCCAGGAAAAGCCUCUAAGCAUCAGGUAACAUCAAAUCGUACCCCAAACCGACACAGGUGGUCAGGUAGAGAAUACCAAGGCGCUUGAGAGAACUCGGGUGAAGGAACUAGGCAAAAUGGUGCCGUAACUUCGGGAGAAGGCACGCUGAUAUGUAGGUGAAGUCCCUCGCGGAUGGAGCUGAAAUCAGUCGAAGAUACCAGCUGGCUGCAACUGUUUAUUAAAAACACAGCACUGUGCAAACACGAAAGUGGACGUAUACGGUGUGACGCCUGCCCGGUGCCGGAAGGUUAAUUGAUGGGGUUAGCGCAAGCGAAGCUCUUGAUCGAAGCCCCGGUAAACGGCGGCCGUAACUAUAACGGUCCUAAGGUAGCGAAAUUCCUUGUCGGGUAAGUUCCGACCUGCACGAAUGGCGUAAUGAUGGCCAGGCUGUCUCCACCCGAGACUCAGUGAAAUUGAACUCGCUGUGAAGAUGCAGUGUACCCGCGGCAAGACGGAAAGACCCCGUGAACCUUUACUAUAGCUUGACACUGAACAUUGAGCCUUGAUGUGUAGGAUAGGUGGGAGGCUUUGAAGUGUGGACGCCAGUCUGCAUGGAGCCGACCUUGAAAUACCACCCUUUAAUGUUUGAUGUUCUAACGU
Molecule: ribosomal RNA, 1650 nt
Filed under: Escherichia coli
Lineage: Bacteria; Pseudomonadati; Pseudomonadota; Gammaproteobacteria; Enterobacterales; Enterobacteriaceae
Description: partial 23S ribosomal RNA
Rfam family: Bacterial large subunit ribosomal RNA
Source: RNAcentral